AUCUUUUUCUGUUUCACAAGCACUAUGAUUGGGUGUUCACAUGUUUGUGUGACAUGUGCCACUCCUAAAUCUUAUUACAAUGUUAGCACAUUACCCAUCGGACA
Molecule: small nucleolar RNA, 104 nt
Organism: Sorex araneus (European shrew)
Lineage: Eukaryota; Metazoa; Chordata; Mammalia; Eulipotyphla; Soricidae
Source: Ensembl